This 245-nucleotide long non-coding RNA is filed under the name Elaeis guineensis (African oil palm). RNAcentral describes it as "long non-coding RNA (EGUI_LNC057520)". The record is from RNAcentral. Lineage: Eukaryota; Viridiplantae; Streptophyta; Magnoliopsida; Arecales; Arecaceae.
CUGCCAAAGGUAGACUUGGAGUCACUAUAGACUUGGAAUUUGCUCUUUUCGAGAUACUUGACCAUACUGUCCUCUCGAGCUUUAUAGUUCUCGCUGACUUGUCCCACCAUCAAUUGGGAGUCACUAUAGACUUGGAGUCGAUCUACUUCUAAUUCUUUGAAAAUCUUUAGUCCUGCAAUCAGAGCUUCAUAUUUCGCUCCAUUAUUUAUGCAGGGAACUCGAAGCGCAGCACAUACUCCACAAUA